GCCCCAAGGAAAAAAGAUGAUAUGGUUGUUUAUAAUGUUCAAAUAAAUAUCUAAACAACAAAAUGUGGGUGAAUCCUACAGUCUCAAAGCCUCAUAAAGCUUAAUUCGAGCUUUAAUUUAUUCAUUCUCAGAAGGCACAGUUACAAAAUAUGGAGCCUACAAAUCAAUUGUCUUUCCUGAAAAGCUAAUGCUGAAAAACCUAAUCCAUAAUCAGGCAUUAAGGGCAUCAAGUUGCUUCCUGAGUUCUUCAAGGUCAUCAAUAGUAGCUGUAGUUGUAUCAGCAUCUGGGAGCUUCUGAAACUCGUCUGCACUUGGAAGCUCAUGUGUAAGACCUUCGGGGAGCGCAUCUGCAGGACCUGAACCUGUGGCAUAUGUAUUUUCCAGCUCACUAUCAUCAACAACACUUAUGUUCCACUCAUUAUCAGCAUGAAGUGGGAUCUCUGUAGCUAACAAUGCUUCUGCCUCCAUUUUGGUUUUAGCUGCAGCAUCCCUAGCUGGCUUUGCAAGGAUAUACUCUUUCUGACGCUCCAAACAAGCUGCAUUUGAACAUUGAGGAUUUGGCCUCAUUUCCAUGGUUGGGAAAUAAUCUUUGAGAGAAUUGUAUCCCAGGUAUAGAGAUACAUGUCCAAAUUGUAACAGGAGCUUCAGUGUAUUUUGAACUAAAAGCCCAGCGACAACUCCCAUCGUGGUAGGCAAAGAUGCUGCACAAACCCCCUCACGCUUGAGUGUCCGCUCAUCCACACCAGAUGCUACAACAAGAGGAGGUGCACAUGCAAAACAAGCAGUUUCUCCAGGAAUCAACAGUUGUAUAUGACCAGAAACAGCAUCUUCAGAUACACCAGACUCCAUCCAUGUUUGAUUCAACUCAUUACAAGCCUGGUUAACAGCCAUCCUUGCUUCAUAAUUAUCCACACAGCUUAAAACAAGAUCUACUCCACUACCUUCUUUAGCUGGACGAAAAUAUUUAUUUUUCAAACUUGACAUGAAGGUUUCAAACCCUUGCACUGUUGUGAUGUUCAGUGUAUAGCUCUCAAGCACAACAUCAGGAUUUAUGUCUGACAGGGUCUGAACAGCAGCAUCAGUCUUCGUCAUGCCAACCUGUUCCGGACGAAAAAAAAGUCUAUUCAUGUUGGCCAACUCCACUCUGUCAUAAUCAUACAACAAAAGACGACCUAUUCCACAUCUUGUUAGCAUUUCAGCUGCAACACUGCCAACACCACCAAUUCCAACAAUGGCAACAGAGAACUCCCGAAUUCUCUCAUAGUUCUGCACAAUACCCAUCCUUUGAAGCGCCAUGAGCCUACUAUAAGGAUUGCUAUCCACAACCUCGGCACUCAUAUCCUUGACUUUUGAACGCCGAACAGGUUCAGACUUUGCCAACGUUGUGAGAUGUUCAAUACGCGACUGCAGCUUAUCGAUUGGAGCGUGAUGAGAUGGAUCAAGCAAUGAAUGCUUAAGAGAAUCGAGAUCAUUUAGCACCUGUUUCAAUUCCGCCUCCAUUACUAGCUGCUUCUUCUGAGCUAAGCUAAAUUCUUCUUCUUCUUCUUCUGCUACAUCACGGCGAUCGCAUCUAUGCAUCCCCUCAAUUAG
RNAcentral lists this unclassified non-coding RNA (1590 nucleotides) under Hevea brasiliensis (rubber tree). Lineage: Eukaryota; Viridiplantae; Streptophyta; Magnoliopsida; Malpighiales; Euphorbiaceae. The record is from RNAcentral.